GACGAACGCUGGCGGCGUGCUUAACACAUGCAAGUCGAACGGAAAGGCCCUGCUUUUGUGGGGUGCUCGAGUGGCGAACGGGUGAGUAACACGUGAGUAACCUGCCCUUGACUUUGGGAUAACUUCAGGAAACUGGGGCUAAUACCGGAUAGGAGCUCCUGCUGCAUGGGGGGGGUUGGAAAGUUUCGGCGGUUGGGGAUGGACUCGCGGCUUAUCAGCUUGUUGGUGGGGUAGUGGCUUACCAAGGCUUUGACGGGUAGCCGGCCUGAGAGGGUGACCGGCCACCUUGGGCCUGAGAUACGGCCCAGACUCCUACGGGAGGCAGCAGUGGGGAAUAUUGCACAAUGGGCGGAAGCCUGAUGCAGCAACGCCGCGUGCGGGAUGACGGCCUUCGGGUUGUAAACCGCUUUCGCCUGUGACGAAGCGUGAGUGACGGUAAUGGGUAAAGAAGCACCGGCUAACUACGUG
This 468-nucleotide ribosomal RNA is filed under the name uncultured bacterium. Its description in RNAcentral is "partial 16S ribosomal RNA". It matches the Rfam family "Bacterial small subunit ribosomal RNA", at positions 28 to 507 of the family's 1533-position model. The record is from RNAcentral.